UGGAAUUUAGAUCAUCAUUAAGAAUUAAUUAAUCAAUCAGUCAAGUAUGGCUUCUGGCGCUAAGCCUAUGUUCGUCAUCUUCAUCAUCUUCUCCAUCCUUUUGCUGCUCUUCAUUAAUACACCGGCCGCUGGAGUUAGUAUAGAUCCUGGACGCCCUUUGAAUCCUGACAAACCUGUUUGCGGUGGACCGAAAGGCAAACCUUGCGUCCCCAACCAGCCGUAUCGGAGGCCAUGCAGAACUUAUUACGGUUGUAAGCCGCCGGCCUCAAAUAACGUUGCUACCAGACCAAAUAUCAAAACUAACAACUGAAGUCGCCUGUAAAACAGGCAAGCAUGCAUGGCAUGCAUAUUGUAUUAGUGAUGCAGAUCAUUAUGUAUGCAUGCAGUAUCUAGCUACCAGCUACAUGCCACCUUAUUAUCAUCCUUCAUGAUUUUGAAGGCUUGAAUAAAUAAAUAAGUGGCAAGAAAUGGUUCUAGUUAA
Long non-coding RNA from Dioscorea cayenensis subsp. rotundata (Guinea yam), 481 nucleotides. RefSeq lists it as uncharacterized. The transcript is spliced from 2 exons. NCBI's taxonomy places the organism in Eukaryota, Viridiplantae, Streptophyta, Magnoliopsida, Dioscoreales, Dioscoreaceae. The record is from RefSeq and is a predicted model, not a curated record.